GCUGGCGGCGUGCCUAAUACAUGCAAGUCGAACGAACUCUGGUAUUGAUUGGUGCUUGCAUCAUGAUUUACAUUUGAGUGAGUGGCGAACUGGUGAGUAACACGUGGGAAACCUGCCCAGAAGCGGGGGAUAACACCUGGAAACAGAUGCUAAUACCGCAUAACAACUUGGACCGCAUGGUCCGAGUUUGAAAGAUGGCUUCGGCUAUCACUUUUGGAUGGUCCCGCGGCGUAUUAGCUAGAUGGUGGGGUAACGGCUCACCAUGGCAAUGAUACGUAGCCGACCUGAGAGGGUAAUCGGCCACAUUGGGACUGAGACACGGCCCAAACUCCUACGGGAGGCAGCAGUAGGGAAUCUUCCACAAUGGACGAAAGUCUGAUGGAGCAACGCCGCGUGAGUGAAGAAGGGUUUCGGCUCGUAAAACUCUGUUGUUAAAGAAGAACAUAUCUGAGAGUAACUGUUCAGGUAUUGACGGUAUUUAACCAGAAAGCCACGGCUAACUACGUGCCAGCAGCCGCGGUAAUACGUAGGUGGCAAGCGUUGUCCGGAUUUAUUGGGCGUAAAGCGAGCGCAGGCGGUUUUUUAAGUCUGAUGUGAAAGCCUUCGGCUCAACCGAAGAAGUGCAUCGGAAACUGGGAAACUUGAGUGCAGAAGAGGACAGUGGAACUCCAUGUGUAGCGGUGAAAUGCGUAGAUAUAUGGAAGAACACCAGUGGCGAAGGCGGCUGUCUGGUCUGUAACUGACGCUGAGGCUCGAAAGUAUGGGUAGCAAACAGGAUUAGAUACCCUGGUAGUCCAUACCGUAAACGAUGAAUGCUAAGUGUUGGAGGGUUUCCGCCCUUCAGUGCUGCAGCUAACGCAUUAAGCAUUCCGCCUGGGGAGUACGGCCGCAAGGCUGAAACUCAAAGGAAUUGACGGGGGCCCGCACAAGCGGUGGAGCAUGUGGUUUAAUUCGAAGCUACGCGAAGAACCUUACCAGGUCUUGACAUACUAUGCAAAUCUAAGAGAUUAGACGUUCCCUUCGGGGACAUGGAUACAGGUGGUGCAUGGUUGUCGUCAGCUCGUGUCGUGAGAUGUUGGGUUAAGUCCCGCAACGAGCGCAACCCUUAUUAUCAGUUGCCAGCAUUAAGUUGGGCACUCUGGUGAGACUGCCGGUGACAAACCGGAGGAAGGUGGGGAUGACGUCAAAUCAUCAUGCCCCUUAUGACCUGGGCUACACACGUGCUACAAUGGAUGGUACAACGAGUUGCGAACUCGCGAGAGUAAGCUAAUCUCUUAAAGCCAUUCUCAGUUCGGAUUGUAGGCUGCAACUCGCCUACAUGAAGUCGGAAUCGCUAGUAAUCGCGGAUCAGCAUGCCGCGGUGAAUACGUUCCCGGGCCUUGUACACACCGCCCGUCACACCAUGAGAGUUUGUAACACCCAAAGUCGGUGGGGUAACCUUUUAGGAACCAGCCGCCUAAGGUGGACAGAU
RNAcentral lists this ribosomal RNA (1471 nucleotides) under Lactiplantibacillus plantarum. RNAcentral's name for it is "bacterial SSU rRNA". It matches the Rfam family "Bacterial small subunit ribosomal RNA". The record is from RNAcentral. Lineage: Bacteria; Bacillati; Bacillota; Bacilli; Lactobacillales; Lactobacillaceae.